This 3151-nucleotide long non-coding RNA is filed under the name Arabidopsis lyrata. Its description in RNAcentral is "long non-coding RNA (ALYR_LNC000258)". Lineage: Eukaryota; Viridiplantae; Streptophyta; Magnoliopsida; Brassicales; Brassicaceae. The record is from RNAcentral.
CUAAACCAGAUGAUUCUCAGCUUGCCUUAUUUGGAAGCUGACCGGUUUAGUUACUUGCAAACCAGACUUUGGCGUCCAGGAGAGUCUCUAAUGCUACAAGAGUAUCUUAAGAACAUCUCAAGCUUCAUUUCCAGCCAUUGGAUCAGGUGGAUUCAAUCUUCCCCAUUCAUACACCAAGACUUUCCAUAUCAAGACUCAAUUGCCUUCCAUGCACUCCAACAACUAAAUACAUUUAAAAUAAUGAAGACCACGACUUUUGGGGGAUUCUACAUGGACCAGAGGCUUCUCUUACAUGGUUAUAUGAAGAAGAUUUCGAGAUAUAAAGAGGAGAGAAUAAGGUUUCCUUAUUUGGCCAAGCAUUGACUUCUAACGGUCAAAUAUCUUCCAAGAUCAUUUCCUUUUUCUUUAGUCUUUUAAUUUCGUGUAUUUUGCUUCCUUUUUUAGUGUUUAUGAACGUUAUAUGUGUCUAGAGUCGAGCCUAUAAAGCUCAAGCCAUUUGUACCAUUUAUGAAAAGAACCCUUAAUCAUCGAUUUUAAUAAACGUUAAGUUUUCUUUCAAAGACAAGUUCUUUGUGUUCCUUUUCAUUUUGAGUUUAGUGUGAGAUACACUCUUCUCUUGUGAAGCUGCGGAUCAGUUUGUUGUGUGAUUCAACAUUCUUAUUCGUUCAUUGAUUGAGUGAGUCAAUCGCAUCUAUCCAUCGUCCCAUCCCUUGAUUCACGAGAGAGUGCGUUAUAGCCAGCUCGUGAAUUCCACCUUCCGCAAGUUAAGCUUGGAAUCUCUUGAUCAUUGAGUGAUCAUAAGUUGGAUUGGUUCCAAUCUUAUAUCAUUUGGUAUCAGAGCUUCAAAAGCUCCUAUCCCCAAGGUUGUAUCUUUUCAACCUAUAUCUUUUUCGAUUUUCAAGUUUUAUUAUUUAAUUUUUUAAAUUUGAAAACCAAAUAAAAAUUUUGUUUCUUGCUUUGUUAUUGUUGAUUUGCUUCAGUACUUUCAUUUAAAAAAAAAAAAAAAAAUUAUUUGCUUCAUUUUAUUAUUUAUUUUAUAAUUAUUAUAAGAAAAAUCCAUAAAAAAAUCCUUUUUUUUAAUAAGUUUUCGGAAUUUUAUUUUUUAUAAAAUCAGAAAAGAGAAAUAAAAAUUGUUUUUCCUUUAUAUUUUCGAUUUUGAUUCAAAAAAAAAAAAAAAAAAAAAAAAAAGGCAAAAUAAAAUAUUUAUUUCCUUAUUUUUGUUUAUAAUUAUUGUUCUUGCCAUAUUUGUUGAACUACUCUUUGACACACUUUUCCUUCUUUGUGUUUGUGAGGUACGCCCCCUAAAAUUUAGAAGUGAUAAUGGAGUCAGAGGACGAGACUUACACCUACGAGGCUGAUUGGCAAGGUGAGGAAGAUAAAAGCCAAAGCUUAAUCGGAGAAGAUGAUGGCUAUGAAGGACGAUCAUGGUGUGAGGAUUACUCUAGUUCAGAAUUUGGAUAUGAACCAGAUGGAGAAGAACGUGAACCCGAACCACCAGACCCAGCCCAAGACACCACGAGCCACCAAGGUUGGUACAGAGGAGAGACUGACCAAGAGAGCAAUGCCGACGAGCCCUAUGGAGAAAAGUCAUGGUGUGAGUCCGAAGAAGAGGAGACACACCAAGAAAAUAGGCCAUGGUGCGAGAUACCUUACUCUGACCAUGAGGAAGAGCACCAAGAAGAGGACAGACCAUGGUGUGAGAUACCAUACUCUGAUCAAGAAGAAGAUCGCCAAGAGGAAACUGAUUCACAAAUCAGUUUAAAGGAAGACGAGUCACAUGGUGUAGAGACAUGGAGUCAUGAGGGUGAAUCUAACUAUGGUGAUGAGUCAGAUCGUGGGGAGGAAGAAAUAGACCACACCAAAGAUCAGCCCACACUAUGGGGUGAUGAAGAGGACUAUGAGCAACAAUAUUUAACCUUUUCAGGUUAUAGCCAAGGUACAGAAGAUUACUUACGGUGGGAAGAGGACAUGGAGGCGUGUUUUCAAUCUUGCCAAGUACCAGAGGGGGAACAACUUUCAUAUGCCCUUGACACACUCACCGGACCAGCUUAUGAGUGGUGGGAGCAAGAGGAGAAUGCCCGUGUCAAGUACAAUGAACCAGCUCAUACAUGGGGAAGUUUCAAGUUAGAAAUCUAUGAGGAGUUUGUGAAGGAAGCUGCAGCUCAACAUCAACAGGAUAUGCCAAGUUAUUCCUACACUAAGCCAAGGAGAUGGAUUCUCGCCACAACGCCAAGAGUGAAGGCUACACCUAAGAAAACCUGCAGCCCUAAGCCAAAUAAAACGUUUGCACCUAUUCUAGAGGAAAAAGGAGAGGCUAAGCUACAAACUCGAGUAAAGGCUGAACUACCAAAGUCAAUUUCCCAAGCUAUAACCUACAAGUCGAGUACAAAGUCAUUACUUAAAGCACAAGGCAACAGCAACAAAGGAGAUAUAGUUUCGAGGUCGAAACCUUUUCAAGAACAUGUUAUAGGUGCCAUAAAAGAGGACAUUUUGCUGUUAAUUGUCCAACUAGAAAAAUUGAAAAGACUAUAGAUAUAAAGAGAACAAACAUGAGCGUACCAAAGACAUAUGUGUCUUUCUUGCGGUAUAUCAGCCCAACCAGGAGGAGUUAGUCUACAAAUCAACUUAUUCAAGAAACUUAACUCAUCAAGGAAUCACGGAGAGGUGGAAUUGGUUCAAAAGCUUUCCACAUGAGGGAGAUAUUCAAGUUAAAAGUCAGCAGACUUCCAAUGAACCUGAUGGAGACCAGCAGCUACGUAUUGGAGGAUUCCGACCAGAGAAUAAGGAUUUAAGCUACGAAGUGAAUUUUCCUACAUUCUUGACUCAUCAGAGGAGCUCGUCGAAUUGGAAUCAAGUCAAAAACAAUUUUGGUUUAGAAGAUAUUAAUUUUCUAAACCAGAUGAUUCUCAGCUUGCCUUAUUUGAAAGCUGACCGGUUUAGUUACUUGCAAACCAGACUUUGGCGUCCAGGAGAGUCUCUAAUGCUACAAGAGUAUCUUAAGAAACUCUCAAGUUUCAUUUCCAGCCAUUGGAUCAGGUGGAUUCAAUCUUCCCCAUUCAUACACCAAGACUUUCCAUAUCAAGACUCAAUUGCCUUCCAUGCACUCCAACAACUAAAUACAUUUAAAAUAAUGAAGACCACGACUUUUGGG